AGCGAACGCUGGCGGCAUGCCUAACACAUGCAAGUCGCACGGGGGGGCUUCGGCCUCCCAGUGGCGGACGGGUGAGGAACGCGUAGGGACCUGUCGAGGGGUGGGGGAUAACCGCGGGAAACUGCGGCUAAUACCGCAUGACGCCGCGGCGUGACAGCCGGGGCCAAAGGCGAAAGCCGCCCGCCGAGGGGCCUGCGUCCGAUUAGCUGGUUGGCGGGGUAGCGGCCCACCAAGGCGUCGAUCGGUAGCUGGUCUGAGAGGGUGAUCAGCCACACCGGGACUGAGACACGGCCCGGACUCCUACGGGAGGCAGCAGUGGGGAAUAUUGGACAAUGGGCGCAAGCCUGAUCCAGCGAUGCCGCGUGGGUGAAGAAGGUCUUCGGAUUGUAAAGCCCUUUCGGCGGGGACGAUGGUGACGGUACCCGCAGAAGAAGCCCCGGCUAACUUCGUG
This 451-nucleotide ribosomal RNA is filed under the name uncultured bacterium. RNAcentral's name for it is "partial 16S ribosomal RNA". It matches the Rfam family "Bacterial small subunit ribosomal RNA", at positions 28 to 507 of the family's 1533-position model. The record is from RNAcentral.